AACUUUUGACAAUGGAUCUCUUGGCUCUGGCAUCGAUGAAGAACGCAGCGAAACGCGAUAUGUAAUGUGAAUUGCAGACUUUAGUGAAUCAUCGAAUCUUUGAACGCACAUUGCGCCCCGUGGUAUUCCGCGGGGCAUACCUGUUCGAGCGUCAUUACAACCUCUCCAGCUCCGCUGGGUCUUGGGGCUUGCCUUCCCGGCAUCCCUUAAAACUAGAUGCGGCGCCGCGUGGCUCUAAGCGUAGUACUUUUCUCGCUUCUGGGUUCGCUGUGGUGCCUGCUACAUAACCCCAACUUUCUAUGGUUGACCUCGAAUCAGGUAGGGAUACCCGCUGAACUUAAGCAUAUCAAUAAGCGGAGGCU
Molecule: unclassified non-coding RNA, 362 nt
Filed under: uncultured Leotiaceae
Lineage: Eukaryota; Fungi; Ascomycota; Leotiomycetes; Helotiales
Description: sequence contains ITS2
Rfam family: 5.8S ribosomal RNA (bases 1-154)
Source: RNAcentral